This 433-nucleotide ribosomal RNA is filed under the name uncultured bacterium. RNAcentral's name for it is "bacterial SSU rRNA". It matches the Rfam family "Bacterial small subunit ribosomal RNA", at positions 29 to 462 of the family's 1533-position model. The record is from RNAcentral.
AUUGAACGCUGGCGGCAGGCCUAACACAUGCAAGUCGAGCGGCAGCGCGGGGGCAACCCUGGCGGCGAGCGGCGAACGGGUGAGUAAUACAUGGGAAUCUGCCUGGUAGUGGGGGAUAACUCUGGGAAACUAGAGGUAAUACCGCAUACGUCCUACGGGAGAAAGGGGGGGAUCUUCGGACCUCUCGCUAUCAGAGGAGCCCAUGUCCGAUUAGCUAGUUGGUGAGGUAAAGGCUCACCAAGGCGACGAUCGGUAACUGGUCUGAGAGGAUGGUCAGUCACACUGGAACUGAGACACGGUCCAGACUCCUACGGGAGGCAGCAGUGGGGAAUAUUGGACAAUGGGGGGCAACCCUGAUCCAGCCAUGCCGCGUGUGUGAAGAAGGCCUUCGGGUUGUAAGCGACUUAAGUUGGGGAGGGAAGGCGUCGUACGU